RNAcentral lists this ribosomal RNA (339 nucleotides) under uncultured Streptococcus sp. Its description in RNAcentral is "bacterial SSU rRNA". It matches the Rfam family "Bacterial small subunit ribosomal RNA", at positions 1040 to 1382 of the family's 1533-position model. The record is from RNAcentral. Lineage: Bacteria; Bacillati; Bacillota; Bacilli; Lactobacillales; Streptococcaceae.
GGUGCAUGGUUGUCGUCAGCUCGUGUCGUGAGAUGUUGGGUUAAGUCCGCAACGAGCGCAACCCUAUUGUUAGUUGCCAUCAUUCAGUUGGGCACUCUAGCGAGACUGCCGGUAAUAAACCGGAGGAAGGUGGGGAUGACGUCAAAUCAUCAUGCCCCUUAUGACCUGGGCUACACACGUGCUACAAUGGUUGGUACAACGAGUUGCGAGUCGGUGACGGCGAGCUAAUCUCUUAAAGCCAAUCUCAGUUCGGAUUGUAGGCUGCAACUCGCCUACAUGAAGUCGGAAUCGCUAGUAAUCGCGGAUCAGCAUGCCGCGGUGAAUACGUUCCCGGGCCUU